CUGUCAACUUAAUAUUCCACACAAAUCUUCUUUGGGCGGCAAUCCAUUUCUCUCUCUCUCUCUCAAAUUACCAAGAACCUAGAUCCAGAUUUUCUCUUUCUCUCUGUCUUUCUUUAUUCACCCUUAAAUCAAUGAAGAAGAACAUCGUUCCAUUUGGUGAUGUCGAUUCAAGCCUAAAUCGCCACAAUUUCUGCUCUUACAUCUUUCUCCUUGAUCUAGGGUCCAGACCAUAGACCAUUAAAGGAGGCCGACUAAACUAGGGUUUCGACUACUGAUCUAUUUCUGCACGUAUGUUCUUCAGACAAUCAAGGUAAGGUUCUUUCAUUUUGAGUUCGUAUUUCCAGUGAUUUUGUGGUUUGGGGCACAGAUCUAGCAAAGGUAGAUUCAUGUUAUUUGGGUUUUAAGGUUGUUGAGGACUUAUGAGGUGAUUCCAUGUGAUGGUAUGGUAGACAAUCAAGGUAAGGUUCUUUCAUUUUGAGUUCGUAUUUCCAGUGAUUUUGUGGUUUGGGGCACAGAUACAGUUUCUAAUUUUAGUUAGUGUAUUUUUAUUAGUUUUUAUUAUUUUCUUCAUGUGAUUGUUAUGUUUUGUAUUAGACUAUGAAUCUUUAUAGAUCAGUUUAGAAGUAGGGUUUUUUAUGUUUGUAUAACUGAUCACUACAAGGGUUUUGAUUUAGAUUAGUAAUCGUCCUUUUUUAAGUCAAUGGUUGUUUUAUUUUGAUUUUGUUUUGAACCCUAAGUUGAUUUACUCCCCAAUUUCUCACACACCACAGAUGGGUGCCCUUGAUAUAAAUACUUUUGUACAUAGAGGUACAUUAUCUGAUUUCAAAAAGAAGAUUGUGGCAACUGAAAAGGAAGCCAGUUUUUUUUUUUGAUCGAGCUAUUAAAGUAGAAAUGGAAGUUGAGAAGCUUAGGGAAGUAAAAGAUGUUCUUGUGGAUAAAGAUUAAAGAUUACCGGCUUCAGUAACGAGAGUAAGAACCGAUAUACAAACUGGCGGUUUGGGUCGGGUAGGAAUCGAUUUGGGUCAAACCGAUUUUAGAUGUGGUAUCGGGUCGGGUUAAGAACCGGUUUAAAUCCAAACUGGCUUUUCUGUACAUCUCUGUGCUUAAUGUUGAUGAUGUAUCCAGGACCAAUGUACAUCUCUGUGCUUAAGGGUCAAGGUUGGAGUUCAGAGUGUUUUUGGUGUUUGCUUUAAUUUCUUUUUCUGGUUUAAUUCUUGCCCUGUAAUGAUAAAUGCAAGUACCCCUCUUUACUUGAUGGCAUCACGUGGCUGAUUGGACAAUGGAUACUUCUAUGCCAAAAUCAAUUCCCAUAUGGAAAUAGUAUGUCUCAUUAUUUGUUUACUUACAGGAAACUAGGCCAAGUAAAAAAUAACAAUGAAUUUUUUUUUUUUUUUUUUUUUACAAAAAAGUUGUGAUUUCAUUACCAAAUUUAUAAAAAUGAGGUUAUGCUUGACCUUGUGAAGUCAAAGGAAGAAACUUUCAAGUUCAAAUUAAACUAAUGCACAAACAGAUUUGAACCAAUAAUGGUACACAUGUGGUGAAGCCAAACGAGCAUGGAAUAAAAUAUUAGAAACUCGAGAUGGGUUGUCGUUCGUAAUAGACAUCAUAAUUAUAUCUGAUGUCAGUCGGCGCACCCGCCGCAACGCGCGGGCAUUCCCACUUUUUACAUUAAAAGCAAUUUCAUUCUCUUUGUAAAUGCUUAUAUAGGCAUGCUAAAUGGGCUGUGUUUGCGGGUCGCAACCAAAUCGUGGAUACGACAUGCGUAUCUGCAAGUUGACAUGAACAUGAUUCUUUAGCGUGGAAUUUUUUUACUUUAUUGUUUUUACAUAUUAAUUUCCUAGAAUUACAAAUUUAAAUGUGUAUUAAACUAAACAAUUAUUUUCAAACUAUUAUAGAUGAUGCUGGACUUUUUAACCUAUUAGUGAGGACUUUUGAACUAUAAAAGAUGAUGCUGGACUUUUAAACUAUAAAAGAUGAUGUUGCUUUCUCUUUUAUAUUUUAAUACGUAGUAUAAUAUAAUCAAUCAAUUUAAGUUAUGACAUAAGCGAGCCCAAUCCGUUUAACUAAAUGUGUGACAUGGGUUUGACCCGAAACCAAAUCAUAAUAUGAUACACCGUUGACAUUUUGUUUCCAAAAGUAGAUUGAUGUUUAUUCGUUUGGGGUGGUCAUGUGGGAGCUGCUAACUGGAGACGAACCUUAUACAAAUAUGGAUUGCGCUAACGUAAUUGGAUGAACAACACAUUGCGUCCUACAAUACCAACUUGGUGUGAUCCUGAAUGGAAAUCAUUAAUGCAAAGUUGUUGGUCUGCAGAUCCUCAAGAAAGACCAUCUUUUUUGGAAAUUUCUAGGAAACUAAGAACCAUGGCUGCAGCAAUCAAUGUCAAAUGAUAUGCAUUAUGCUUUAAAUUUGGGUGUUAGAGUAGCUCUUGCAAAUGGUAUGAAUUGGGAUGAUUUAACUCGGAUGGUCAAAGAGGAGAAGAAAUAUGGAAAUCCCGUUGUAGGCCUUAUUGACAAAUUACAUCUUGAAACAAAUUCCAUGAGUCUGCUUUUGAAUAACAAUCUUGAUGAAUGGACGAUGAUGAAAUUACUCAACCCGUGGAAAAGGUGGUUGAUUGUUUUUACGACUCAAGACAAAGAAAAAAUGAUUUGCCGGAAAUCCUUUUUACUUCCAUAUCGUGACUCUAAUAUAUCACAUCUCAAUUAAAAAAGUUUUACUCAAUUGGCUGUAGAGAGAGUGGAUACAGUGUUGAUGCAGAGAGGAGAUGAAGUUGUUUCCGUCACCCACCGUCUCACCAAACACCGCUUCACCUCCAUUGCCAUGUCUACAAUCUCUGUUCCCACGUUAACAUCAGUAUACAUCGGAGGUUCUAAUUUUCUCUCGGUGGACUAAAAUUUCAGAUAUUAUGCAUUACGACUUUACUAAAAAGGCAUGCAAGUAUACAGAAUUGAUGACAGUGUGAGAGGAGACAAGGCAACAUAUAAAAUUAGUACCUUUAUGUAGAUGAAUUCAUUUGUAUUAUGUAUUACUCUACCUUCAUUUCUUAAUGUAAUUUUUUAUGUUCACACUGCCG
RNA transcript from Helianthus annuus (common sunflower), 3071 nucleotides. RefSeq lists it as uncharacterized. The transcript has 5 exons. The record is from RefSeq and is a predicted model, not a curated record. Lineage: Eukaryota; Viridiplantae; Streptophyta; Magnoliopsida; Asterales; Asteraceae.